AUCGCUUCUCGGCCUUUUGGCUAAGAUCAAGUGUAGUGUCUGUUCUUAUCAGUUUAAUAGAUACAUGCAUACUCGAUACAGACACGGAUCGUACUUAGCAAUACAAAAGACCUACA
This is a small nuclear RNA of Oryctolagus cuniculus (rabbit), 116 nucleotides long. Its record names the gene U2. It matches the Rfam family "U2 spliceosomal RNA". Rfam says of the family: U2 is a small nuclear RNA (snRNA) component of the spliceosome (involved in pre-mRNA splicing). Lineage: Eukaryota; Metazoa; Chordata; Mammalia; Lagomorpha; Leporidae. The record is from Ensembl.